GGUAAUACCGGCAGCUCRAGUGGUCGUCGCUUUUAUUGGGCCUAAAACGUCCGUAGCCUGUUUGGUAAAUCUGUGGGUAAAUCAACYMGCUYAACKRGUUGAAUUCUGCAGAGACUGCCAGACUAGGGACCGGGAGAGGUGUGGGGUACUCRAGGGGUAGGGGUAAAAUCCUGUCAUCCUUMGAGGACCACCAGUUGCGAAGGCGCCACACURGAACGGAUCCGACGGUCAGGGACGAAGCCUAGGGGCACGAACCGGAUUAGAUACCCGGGUAGUCCUAGGUGUAAACGCUGUGAACUUGGUGUCGGGRGUCCGCAAKGGGYCCCCGGUGCCGGAGUGAAGAUGUUAAGUUCACUGCCUGGGGAGUACGGUCGCAAGGCUGAAACUGGUAAUACCGGCAGCUCRAGUGGUCGUCGCUUUUAUUGGGCCUAAAACGUCCGUAGCCUGUUUGGUAAAUCUGUGGGUAAAUCAACYMGCUYAACKRGUUGAAUUCUGCAGAGACUGCCAGACUAGGGACCGGGAGAGGUGUGGGGUACUCRAGGGGUAGGGGUAAAAUCCUGUCAUCCUUMGAGGACCACCAGUUGCGAAGGCGCCACACURGAACGGAUCCGACGGUCAGGGACGAAGCCUAGGGGCACGAACCGGAUUAGAUACCCGGGUAGUCCUAGGUGUAAACGCUGUGAACUUGGUGUCGGGRGUCCGCAAKGGGYCCCCGGUGCCGGAGUGAAGAUGUUAAGUUCACUGCCUGGGGAGUACGGUCGCAAGGCUGAAACU
This 774-nucleotide ribosomal RNA is filed under the name uncultured euryarchaeote. RNAcentral's name for it is "partial 16S ribosomal RNA". The stretch from base 1 to 477 matches the Rfam family "Archaeal small subunit ribosomal RNA", at positions 469 to 1477 of the family's 1478-position model. Lineage: Archaea; Methanobacteriati; Methanobacteriota. The record is from RNAcentral.